This 400-nucleotide ribosomal RNA is filed under the name uncultured bacterium. RNAcentral describes it as "bacterial SSU rRNA". It matches the Rfam family "Bacterial small subunit ribosomal RNA", at positions 355 to 747 of the family's 1533-position model. The record is from RNAcentral.
UGGGGAAUUUUGCGCAAUGGGCGAAAGCCUGACGCAGCAACGCCGCGUGAGUGAUGAAGGCCUUUGGGUCGUAAAGCUCUGUCAGAGGGAAAGAAGUGUGGGCGGCUAAUAUCCGUACCACUUGACGGUACCCUCAAAGGAAGCACCGGCUAACUCCGUGCCAGCAGCCGCGGUAAUACGGAGGGUGCAAGCGUUGUUCGGAAUUAUUGGGCGUAAAGCGCGUGUAGGCGGUUUCUUAAGUCUGAUGUGAAAGCCCCGGGCUCAACCUGGGAAGUGCAUUGGAUACUGGGAGACUUGAGUACGGGAGAGGGUAGUGGAAUUCCCAGUGUAGGAGUGAAAUCCGUAGAUAUUGGGAGGAACACCGGUGGCGAAGGCGGCUGCCUGGACCGAUACUGACGCU